Molecule: long non-coding RNA, 221 nt
Filed under: Ursus maritimus (polar bear)
Lineage: Eukaryota; Metazoa; Chordata; Mammalia; Carnivora; Ursidae
Description: lncRNA (ENSUMAG00000010485.1)
Source: RNAcentral
AAGAAAUCUGCAAGGGCACUGAGAACCAAGAAGAGACCCACAGGGACCGCUGCAUGAGCUACUGAUGCCUGGGAAGACCUUCAUGUUGUCCUGAAGUGUCGGCAACUUCCGUCGUCCAGGACUCACCCGAGGAGAGGUUGCCAGCAACCAGGCUUCUUGGCUGCUGCAGAAUCCUGGCUACCUUCUGCCCCAAGGCAUGUCCUUUGAUGCUGGACAUGUGG